UCUCUAAACCAAUGAAUCUCAUAAUAAAAUAAUAAACUGACUUUCGGACCAAUUGAACUAGCCCGCAUCAUCAUGUGUCGAUUGGACAGUAAGGCCCCGUCUCUGAUAUGGCCGAGAUCUUUGUCGUGCUGACACCGGAAAAGGUAGCAACGGCUAUGGGCAUUUAGCACCUGUCUCAGCCUGUCUGUCUCCACCUUUAAUGUUUCCUCUUGGGUUUUGACAACCCAACUACAAAAAAUUUCUCUGGGGCUUUCGCAUAUAGAAGGAUCUUGCUCAUCAUUCUGUGUCUUUGAGAUAUUCAUGCCUGCAUGGCAGGCAGAAGAUGACUAUCUUGCAAUACCUGAUGCUCUCGUAGAGAAAAAGAUGGCCUUCUGGGAUUGAGAGGACUGAAGUCAGGGGACCUGUUAAUUGUUAAUAUAUCUGUUUUUUUUUUUUCCUGAAUGGCAAUUACCAAAUUAUUAUGCUAGAUUAUUUCUCUUAAUUUAGGCUAUGGAACUGAGGUUGUAUUCUGCAAAUUCACUUCUUCACAAGUUGACAUGCCUGUUAUUCGAUCUGAGCAAGGUGCAGGAAUGAUCAAUUGCAAUAUACUGCAGGAGAACUGCAGACGGGAUGCAUGAUGAAAUUUAUUGGUCCAAACUUCUACUGAAUUUUGAAGGGGAGUUUAAUAAGAAGGCUUUGGUAAUCUUCUGGUGACCAGUUUGGGUCAUAAGAGUUUUUCCCAAUGGUUAUUGAGUUCCUUCUCUGAGAAGUGGAUGUUGAUGACGUAUUGGAAUAUGUCUCUUGCUGCUAACAGAAGAGGCAACAAGCAAGUCAAUCUCUCUAUGCUUCGAGGCUUGCUAGUAGACCGUUGGUGGAUAAGUGAGACUCGUAACGUUCAACCUUUUCCAUGCAAGUGGUGUUAACAGACUUGAACCGGAAAAGAAAUAAGAAGACAAAGGAAAAAAAAAGAAGGCAUAUCAUGAUCUGGAUAAUGCUUUAAUAAAUCACCAGAAAUAAGUUGUAAAGAUGACCAGAUCUAGUUUCCCUUAUUUCUUCUGCUGAAAGCAUUUUUAAGAAUUUGAAAGAGAGACUUCUAAUUGAUGGUGAAUUGCUUAUUCUCGGUAA
Molecule: long non-coding RNA, 1104 nt
Organism: Populus trichocarpa (black cottonwood)
Lineage: Eukaryota; Viridiplantae; Streptophyta; Magnoliopsida; Malpighiales; Salicaceae
Exons: 2
Source: RefSeq, a predicted model, not a curated record